GCCCCCGCGCCCGCUGUGUCCCCUCCGCUCACUGAGGAAACCCACCAACCCUUAGCAGCCCCCGCGGAGGGUGCGAUGGCCCCGCGCAAGAACGCCAAGGGCGGCGGCGGCGGCGGCGGCAACAGCAGCAGCAGCGGCUCCGGCAGCGGCAGCACCAGCGCGGGCAGCAGUGGAGGCAGCAGCAGCCCCGGGGCCCGGAGAGAGAUAAAGCAUGGUGGC
Long non-coding RNA from Otolemur garnettii (small-eared galago), 219 nucleotides. RefSeq lists it as uncharacterized. Lineage: Eukaryota; Metazoa; Chordata; Mammalia; Primates; Galagidae. The transcript has 3 exons. The record is from RefSeq and is a predicted model, not a curated record.